This 329-nucleotide ribosomal RNA is filed under the name uncultured eukaryote. RNAcentral describes it as "partial 18S ribosomal RNA". It matches the Rfam family "Eukaryotic small subunit ribosomal RNA", at positions 1470 to 1796 of the family's 1831-position model. The record is from RNAcentral.
CCCUUAGAUGUUCUGGGCCGCACGCGCGCUACAAUGAUGAAUUCAACGAGUUUAUAACCUUGGUUGAAAAGCCUGGGUAAUCUUUUGAACUUUCGUCGUGAUGGGGCUAGACCCUUGCAAUUAUUGGUCUCCAACGAGGAGUUCCUAGUAAACGCAAGUCAUCAGCUUGCAUUGAUUACGUCCCUGCCCUUUGUACACACCGCCCGUCGCACCUACCGAUUGAAUGGUCCGGUGAAAUCUUCGGAUUGAGACUUUGAUUUCUUCACGGAAAACGCUGUUUUAAGAAGUUGAUUAAACCUUACCAUUUAGAGGAAGGUGAAGUCGUAACA